RNAcentral lists this non-coding RNA (254 nucleotides) under Dorea longicatena. RNAcentral describes it as "T-box sequence". It matches the Rfam family "T-box leader". From Rfam's summary of the family: Uncharged tRNA acts as the effector for transcription antitermination of genes in the T-box leader family. T-boxes are found upstream of many aminoacyl-tRNA synthetase genes and some amino acid biosynthetic genes usually in Gram-positive bacteria. The record is from RNAcentral. Lineage: Bacteria; Bacillati; Bacillota; Clostridia; Lachnospirales; Lachnospiraceae.
GUAAAGGCAUUGAUGAAGAGGAGUACACGUAAGUUCGUCCAUACCAGAGAGAGUGAUCCAUCGGCUGAGAGACACUUAAGGAAUACGAGACGUCGGAAGGUAGCUUCGGAGCCGGAUGAAUGAACCUGUAACUUAUGAUAAAGUAGAAUUAGUUCAUCCCGGAGUCGUUCCCGUUAAAGAAUAAGAUGAGAUAUAUAGCGAAGGAUUUCUUCCUAUAUAAUGAAGGUGGUACCGCGACUACAAUCGCCCUUUAC